UUUAAAUGUAUCUUCUACAGGUGAAGUGAAGACACUAAUGGUACAAUUAUUAAGGGCAGUUGCACAUCUUCAUGACAAUUGGAUACUUCAUAGAGAUUUAAAAACAUCCAAUCUACUUCUUAGUCAUAAAGGGAUUUUAAAAGUUGGUGAUUUUGGAUUAGCUCGAGAAUAUGGUUCACCAUUGAAACCUUAUACUCCUGUUGUUGUGACGUUAUGGUACAGAGCACCAGAGUUAUUGUUAGGUGCAAAAG
Molecule: long non-coding RNA, 251 nt
Organism: Centruroides sculpturatus (bark scorpion)
Lineage: Eukaryota; Metazoa; Arthropoda; Arachnida; Scorpiones; Buthidae
Exons: 2
Source: RefSeq, a predicted model, not a curated record